Molecule: ribosomal RNA, 135 nt
Filed under: Triticum aestivum (bread wheat)
Lineage: Eukaryota; Viridiplantae; Streptophyta; Magnoliopsida; Poales; Poaceae
Description: partial small subunit ribosomal RNA
Source: RNAcentral
AUGGAGUACAAGGUGAAGAGCCAUGACAGCAAGCACAAGGGGUCAGGGUCAGGAGGGCUGAGCAGGAUGCUGAGGCAGCACAAGGCCAGGCUCUAUAUCAUCCGCCGAUGCGUCGUCAUGCUCCUCUGCUCUUGA